RNAcentral lists this ribosomal RNA (315 nucleotides) under Triticum aestivum (bread wheat). Its description in RNAcentral is "partial small subunit ribosomal RNA". Lineage: Eukaryota; Viridiplantae; Streptophyta; Magnoliopsida; Poales; Poaceae. The record is from RNAcentral.
AUGGCCCGCGGGAAGGUGGCCGAGUGGAUACGGAAGCGUACCAUGCCGAGUAAGUCGUCCGCCGGUCGCCGGAGUAGGGGCAGCGGGGCGUCCGAGCCGAUACUGCCGAGCGAGGCAGCGCCGGAGAGCUGGAGCAACGCCAGCAGGGCGCCUAGAAAGGCUGACGGGAGCGGAAACGGUGCCAGUGGCAGCGGCGCGCCAACGGCGCACUCGAAGUCCCGGGCGAGCGCCUUCCUGUCGGCGCUUAUGCGGUGGCGGCCGCGCGUGAACGUGAUGGCCGUGCCGUGGGAGCAGGUGGUGUACCACCUGAUGUGA